CCUGUAAUCCCAGCUGCUCUGGAGGCUGAAACAGGAGAAUCGCUUGAAGCAAGGAGUUGAAGUUGCAGUGAGCCAAGAUCGCACCACUGCACUCCAGCCUGGGUGACAGAGUGAGACUCUGUCUCAAAAAAAUAAAAAUAAAAAUAAAAAUAAAAUAAUAGGGAGCUAGGGGUGACAGCUCAUGCCUGUAAUCCCAGCUACUCAGGAAACUAAGGUAAGAGGGUCAUUUGAGGCUAGGGAUUUAAGACCAGCCUGGACAACAACGUUGCAAGACCCCAUU
Sapajus apella (tufted capuchin) is the source of this 280-nucleotide long non-coding RNA. RefSeq lists it as uncharacterized. The transcript has 2 exons. Lineage: Eukaryota; Metazoa; Chordata; Mammalia; Primates; Cebidae. The record is from RefSeq and is a predicted model, not a curated record.